Molecule: long non-coding RNA, 2813 nt
Organism: Polyodon spathula (Mississippi paddlefish)
Lineage: Eukaryota; Metazoa; Chordata; Actinopteri; Acipenseriformes; Polyodontidae
Exons: 2
Source: RefSeq, a predicted model, not a curated record
AUUCCACUCACUCUGGAAACAAAAUAAGAGGGUGCCUUCUUCAAGAAAAUGUUAUUUGUUUGUUUUCUCCUUUUAGUCUUGAACAUAUUUUGAGAACAGAUUUAUUAUUAUGAGAAUUAACACUAAGGUAUGUAUUUUAUAAACGUGUUACAAAUUCCUUCGAACUAAUUAUACAUCGCUCAAGGGUUUCUGGGGGUUUGGACACAAUAGGGUAAAGUGCUCAUGUAAGUAUUCUCUGAAUAAUAUCUAGAGUUAGAAUCACAUUUUAAUGUAUUUUUUCAUAAAUUGUUAACAUUUAAAUUAGUUGCAAAUGAAUACCAUGCUGUAAAAAGUAAUACGAGUGCAUUUGCUGUCAAUGGCUAAACACACUUUGCUAGAUUAUCAAGCUAAUCUGAACUACAGGUGUGCAUGCAUCUUAAAAGAAAGAGGUUGUACUUGGAUAAAGACGUCUGCCAAAUAAACUAAUAAUAAUACUUUAGUUGAUUUACUAUUGACACGAAGAUGAUGUACUGCAGUGCAAUAUUUUAUUUUUUGCGAAAUUCAUAUAGCACAGGUUAUAGCACGAACUUUUAUUAUUGAUAUUAUUCUUUUAAAUGUGUAGUUCCAGAAUGUCCUGGUAUUAACAGCAGCAGCUUUAAACAUUACAUUGCUAUCCUACAUAAUUUACUUUUUCAAUACUGGCAGGACUACAUUUAAUUUCUCAAAGUGAUAGAGUUCUCAACUUUAUUUCUACAUGUAUCACCAAUUGCCAUAUGAUUCCAAGUUAACAAAUGAUGAAUACACUUUGGAAUACAGUGUAAAUGUACAUUGUGGUGGGAUGUCAACACAUAAUACCAAGAAUUAUAAAAACAAUAUUGUCUAAAUUUAAAUUGAACAAAAAAUACACACAGAAAACAAAGAGGUGGGAUUUUAUGAUAAAGUUUAAUUCCAGUCAUUAUCAAGAACAGUGAUGUACUGUACAGUCCCUCUUGCAGAACAAUUAAACUGGGCCAAAUAUGUUUUCCUGUUAAAUAUAAAUUAAGGUAGUGUUGCUGUUCAGUUACUGUGCAGGCUAUUUUUCACAGUUUAAAACUCCUUAAAUGUUAACAUAUGUUUAGCUGUCUGUCUGUCCGUCAGUCAGUUAGUCAGUCAAUCAGUCUAUAGAACUGCCACUAAAAGCUGUGAUUAGCCUGGGUGUUAUAUAAUCAUGAAUUUUCCAAAGCAAAUAAAUAAAAGUACUGUAUUUGCACUUUUUACUACAUGUUAAAAAUAGAAACCACUGGUAUGUGUUUGUCUGACCAUUUGAACAGCUACAUAUUUAUGCUGAACUGUGUAUUUUGAAGAGACUGGAAAAUCUAUAUAAAAAACCCCAUAUUUAAGUUGUUUUGCAAAUUUAAGCACUUUUAAAAAAAAAUAAAAAAAACAAACGUUAUUAUUUAGCAUAUUUCAUAUUUAGUAAUUGCACUUUGAUUGGAAGUGUAUUCGGUAUGUAUAUUUUCUAGAUGUUACUGUUGUGUAGAAUAAUACUGUUAACUUGCUUUUAUUGUCACAGUAAUUACAUUCUAACACCAUAUCUUGGUUAACAGACCUUUUCUUCUCUAAAAGUAAUUUUAUACUUAAUCUAGCACAGUUUGUACUAUUACAGCAACACUACUUUAGUGUACAAAUUUGGGUUUACAGAAUCUCUGUUGUAAAAUGUUUUUGCUGUGGUGCUUUAAACUGAGCUCAUGCUGUUGUUUCCUGUGGAGCGUACUGUUUUGAAUGAUACCUCACUGAUGCUGUUAAAUGCCUUCACAAAAUGGUUCUAUUACAAAAAAAAAGUAAUUACAUUUUCUAACUUGUUUUAAACCGAAAUAACAUUAGCUAAAAUACAAAGUUUCUGUUUUGUUUUUUUUUUCUUUUUGUGUGUGUAACCCUUAAUUACAAAUCGCAGCAACACUUUUUGGUAUAUACUGUACAGUGAAACAUACAUUAUCUAAACUUUUAGCAAACACUCUGUUUUCCUCUGCCCUAUUACAGGACAUAUGGCUAUGUCCUCUAGCUCAGCACAUUCAUAUUUAAUUAUGUAUUUCAUUUUGCAGAGGUGGUAUUGUAAUUAAAGAUUCUUGAUUGGGAAUGCAUAUUAACAUUGUAACCAUUCUAAUCUGAACAAAUAGAGUUUAUAAAUACAAUACCUCCAGGUCCCAGUCAGUUAAUUGAGGUUUCACUGUAUUUUAUGAUUUUCGACCCAGGCUGAAACAUGCAGAAGUGCAGUUAGUCCCUCAGUGAUGCAGACGAACUAUAAUUAUCAAUUGCUUCUUGGUCUCCUUUUACUAAACCCAGUGACUUCUGCUUUUGAAAGAUGUGUUUCUUUGAUUAAAGAAGAUAGCAACCUGCUAAAACCACCUUUAUCAAAAUAACUGCCUGUACAAUUUUAUUUUUCACAUUUCCAAAUCUAAUCAUUAAUAACUGAGCUAUUGCCUUAAAAUGCUCAUACUGCUGAGAAUAGACAAGAACAGAGUUGUUGGGGCACAUGACAGGAAAUAAAAUUCAGCUGCAAACAAAAUAUGAUGUAGCAAAUAAUAUUGUUUAAUAGUAUUACUGUUUAUUGUAUAUUCUCAUGUUAUCUGCGUACUGUGACUAGAAGCAUGUACAUGUUUGUAGAACAACAAAGCAUACCACAGCAGAAUGCUUGCCUGUUAGGGUUUCAGCUUUUAAAACCGAAUAUCUUGAGAUUGUUAUCUUGACACUUAGUGAAGAUGUACAGUAUUUGUUAAAUCCUGUCCACAUACUUAUGGACUAAAUGUGACUCCAUUACUAUUCUAACAAAUUUUGAAUAAACUUUUUUUUCAAAA